AACGAACGCUGGCGGCAUGCCUAACACAUGCAAGUCGAACGAGACCUUCGGGUCUAGUGGCGCACGGGUGCGUAACGCGUGGGAACCUGCCCUUAGGUUCGGAAUAACUCCCCGAAAGGGGUGCUAAUACCGGAUAAUGUCUUCGGACCAAAGAUUUAUCGCCUUUGGAUGGGCCCGCGUUGGAUUAGCUAGUUGGUAGGGUAAAAGCCUACCAAGGCGACGAUCCAUAGCUGGUCUGAGAGGAUGAUCAGCCACACUGGGACUGAGACACGGCCCAGACUCCUACGGGAGGCAGAAGUGGGGAAUAUUGGACAAUGGGCGAAAGCCUGAACCAGCAAUGCCGCGUGAGGGAUGAAGGCCUUAGGGUUGUAAAGCUCUUUUACCCGGGAUGAUAAUGACAGUACCGGGAGAAUAAGCUCCGGCUAACUCCG
This 431-nucleotide ribosomal RNA is filed under the name uncultured bacterium. RNAcentral's name for it is "partial 16S ribosomal RNA". It matches the Rfam family "Bacterial small subunit ribosomal RNA", at positions 29 to 505 of the family's 1533-position model. The record is from RNAcentral.